AAGACCUUGCGCUUUUGGAGCGGCCGAUGCCUGAUUAGCUUGUUGGUAAGGUAAAAGCUUACCAAGGCUUCGAUCAGUAGCUGGUCUGAGAGGACGGCCAGCCACACUGGGACUGAGACACGGCCCAGACUCCUACGGGAGGCAGCAGUGGGGAAUUUUGGACAAUGGGGGCAACCCUGAUCCAGCCAUGCCGCGUGAGUGAAGAAGGCCUUCGGGUUGUAAAGCUCUUUCAGCCGGAACGAAACGGUUACGGUUAAUACCCGUGACUAAUGACGGUACCGGAAGAAGAAGCACCGGCUAACUACGUGCCAGCAGCCGCGGUAAUACGUAGGGUGCGAGCGUUAAUCGGAAUUACUGGGCGUAAAGCGUGCGCAGGUGGUUUUGUAAGUCAGAUGUGAAAGCCCCGGGCUCAACCUGGGAACU
This 423-nucleotide ribosomal RNA is filed under the name uncultured bacterium. Its description in RNAcentral is "bacterial SSU rRNA". It matches the Rfam family "Bacterial small subunit ribosomal RNA", at positions 207 to 622 of the family's 1533-position model. The record is from RNAcentral.